Molecule: long non-coding RNA, 334 nt
Filed under: Spirodela polyrhiza (greater duckweed)
Lineage: Eukaryota; Viridiplantae; Streptophyta; Magnoliopsida; Alismatales; Araceae
Description: long non-coding RNA (SPOL_LNC001708)
Source: RNAcentral
GACAAGGGCACCGUCGAGCUGGCCGGCACCAACGGCGAGACCACCACCCAGGGCCUCGACGACCUCGGCAAGCGCUGCGCCAAGUACUACGAGGCCGGCGCGCGCUUCGCCAAGUGGCGGGCGGUCCUCAAGAUCGGCCCCACCGAGCCCUCCCAGCUGUCCAUCCAGGAGAACGCCAACGGGCUGGCCCGGUACGCCAUCAUCUGCCAGGAGAACGGCCUCGUGCCCAUCGUCGAGCCCGAGAUCCUCGUCGACGGCCCCCACGACAUCGCCCGCUGCGCCGACGUGACCGAGCGCGUCCUCGCCGCCUGCUACAAGGCCCUCAACGACCACC